AAGUCGUAACAAGGUUUCCGUAGGUGAACCUGCGGAAGGAUCAUUAACAAAUUCAAUUAUCCGAUUGACCCUUUGUGAAUUGGCGAGCAUCCGGGUGCGUCUCCUUUGGGGGGCGUGCGCGGGCUUGCGUGCGCGGAGGCCGCUGCAGCCGUAACUGGUGUCGCAGCAGCGCCGUGCAUCAUAAACGCUUUAAAGGUUUGGCUUAUGUGCGUGCCUUGUGCAUGCGAUACACAACCAAUAAAGACAACUUUUAACAAUGGAUCUCUUGGCUCUU
RNAcentral lists this unclassified non-coding RNA (274 nucleotides) under Phylloporus sp. RNAcentral describes it as "partial contains small subunit ribosomal RNA, internal transcribed spacer 1, and 5.8S ribosomal RNA". The stretch from base 1 to 46 matches the Rfam family "Eukaryotic small subunit ribosomal RNA", at positions 1786 to 1831 of the family's 1831-position model. Lineage: Eukaryota; Fungi; Basidiomycota; Agaricomycetes; Boletales; Boletaceae. The record is from RNAcentral.